Molecule: ribosomal RNA, 253 nt
Filed under: uncultured bacterium
Lineage: Bacteria
Description: partial 16S ribosomal RNA
Rfam family: Bacterial small subunit ribosomal RNA
Source: RNAcentral
UACGGAGGGUGCAAGCGUUGCUCGGAAUUAUUGGGCGUAAAGGGCAGGUAGGUGGUCCUAUUUGUCUGGGGUGAAAUCCCUGAGCUUAACUCAGGAAGUGCCCCAGAAACGGUAGGACUAGAGUCUUAGAGAGGUUCGUGGAAUUCCCGGUGUAGCGGUGAAAUGCGUAGAGAUCGGGAGGAACACCAGCGGCGAAGGCGGCGAACUGGAUAAGUACUGACACUCAACUGCGAAAGCGUGGGGAGCAAACAGG